Molecule: long non-coding RNA, 1042 nt
Filed under: Monodelphis domestica (gray short-tailed opossum)
Lineage: Eukaryota; Metazoa; Chordata; Mammalia; Didelphimorphia; Didelphidae
Description: lncRNA (ENSMODG00000034436.2)
Source: RNAcentral
ACUAAAACCAUGGCACCUCCCACAAGGAAUAAUCAAAUAACCAAAGGCCAGGUCACUGCCCUCACAGAGAAGAGUUAGACUUUUAAUCUAAACCGACCCUGAACUCAGCCUGCAGAGACACUAAAAUGAGGCUGUGCCUGCUGAGCUUGGUGGUGGGGAUCACCAUGGGGGUGACUGGGAUCCCCCUGGGAAAAGUCUUUACAAGGAGACAACAAACAGAGGUGGAAAAGGAGGGACAGGACUCCCUGGAGCCAAAUAACGAGUUGACUUCAUUAUAUCAACCAGAAUCUGUAUCAUGGAACUUAACUGAAACUUUUGAGGACACUGAGGAGGACAAGCCCAAGAAAGCAAAAAGACAACUCCCUAUCCUUGGUUCUUAUUCAGGAAUGACUUCAAGAGCAGCUAACGAUAAUGAGACCUUUAUCUUUAUACGUAUUUGUGGAGGUACCUGCAAUGAAUCUAAGACACUCCAUGAGAAUAGCCCUGAGAAAGAAAAAGAAGAAAAAAGACAAAGAGAGCCUCAUCCCUACAGAGAACCAGUGAGAGACCUGAACCUUCCAGGGACUAUCCUACAGCUGCUUAACCAGACAAAGUAUCCCAAGAAGAAAAGAGUUGACCAGUGGUCAGUCCUUGGGAGAGUGGCUCCUCCACCUGGAAAAAAUUCCAAUAAUAUGGUGGCGAUGAAGUUGCAUAAUGACACUCACAUUGACAAUCUAGCCAAGAAGGCCCCACAACAGGCUAAUGACCUUAGAGGAAGGCGAUGCUCUGCCUGUUGUGCUGAUGAUAGAAACCUUGCGGUCCUUGUGAGAAGAGACUGAGAAGAAGCCAAUGAAGUGUUUUCUGCAUGGACCUAGCACAAUGCCCAGCAGAGACCAGUCACCAUAUACAAUGGAGCUAAGAUACUACAGCUGGAUUGGAAAAAGGAAGUAUGCCUUGAUUUCGUCCUCCUCACUUCCAUGUUGUUGCUAAGUCCUGUUUCUUCAUAUCAUGCUUGAGUCCUCCUUCGGUUCACAAUAAAGUCUCUCUUUUCCUGAUUACCUCA